GACAGAGGGUGCAACCGUUGUUCGGAUUCAUUGGGCGUAAAGGGUGCGUAGGCGGCGCGGUAAGUCGGGUGUGAAAUCUUGGAGCUUAACUCCGAAACUGCAUUCGAUACUGCCGUGCUUGAGGACUGGAGAGGAGACUGGAAUUUACGGUGUAGCGGUGAAAUGCGUAGAUAUCGUAAGGAAGACCAGUGGCGAAGGCGGUUCUCUGGGACGGUACUGACGCUGAGACGCGAAAGCGUGGGGAGCGAACAGG
This 253-nucleotide ribosomal RNA is filed under the name uncultured bacterium. RNAcentral's name for it is "partial 16S ribosomal RNA". It matches the Rfam family "Bacterial small subunit ribosomal RNA", at positions 524 to 776 of the family's 1533-position model. The record is from RNAcentral.